UCCCGAACCGGGCAGUCUCGCCAGAAAGGGCAACUGACGAUGGGGGUUGCGCUCGUUGCGGGACUUAACCCAACACCUCACGGCACGAGCUGACGACAGCCAUGCAGCAUCUGUGUCUGCUCCCUUGCGGGUCCCUCCCCUUUCAGGUCGGUACCACAGACAUGUCAAGCCUAGGUAAGGUUCUGCGCGUUGCAUCGAAUUAAACCACACGCUCCGCUGCUUGUGCGGGUCCCCGUCAAUUCCUUUGAGUUUUAGCCUUGCGGCCGUAGUCCCCAGGCGGCGAACUUAACGCGUUAGCUCCGGCGCCGAGGGGGUCGAUACCCCCGACACCUAGUUCGCAUCGUUUACGGCGUGGACUAC
Molecule: unclassified non-coding RNA, 360 nt
Filed under: uncultured Chloroflexota bacterium
Lineage: Bacteria; Bacillati; Chloroflexota
Description: uncultured Chloroflexi bacterium contains 16S-23S intergenic spacer region
Source: RNAcentral